This 274-nucleotide ribosomal RNA is filed under the name uncultured bacterium. Its description in RNAcentral is "partial 16S ribosomal RNA". It matches the Rfam family "Bacterial small subunit ribosomal RNA", at positions 523 to 796 of the family's 1533-position model. The record is from RNAcentral.
AUACGAAGGGGGCUAGCGUUGUUCGGAUUUACUGGGCGUAAAGCGCACGUAGGCGGAUUGAUUAGUUAGGGGUGAAAUCCCGAGGCUCAACCUCGGAACUGCCUCUAAAACUGUCAAUCUCGAGACCGGAAGAGGUGAGUGGAACUCCUAGUGUAGAGGUGGAAUUCGUUGAUAUUAGGAAGAACACCAGUGGCGAAGGCGGCUCACUGGUCCGGUACUGACGCUGAGGUGCGAAAGCGUGGGGAGCGAACAGGAUUAGAAACCCCAGUAGUCC